This 255-nucleotide ribosomal RNA is filed under the name uncultured bacterium. RNAcentral's name for it is "partial 16S ribosomal RNA". It matches the Rfam family "Bacterial small subunit ribosomal RNA", at positions 793 to 1055 of the family's 1533-position model. The record is from RNAcentral.
GUCCACGCCGUAAACGAUGGAUACUAGCUGUUGGGCGCAAGUUCAGUGGCUAAGCGAAAGUGAUAAGUAUCCCACCUGGGGAGUACGUUCGCAAGAAUGAAACUCAAAGGAAUUGACGGGGGCCCGCACAAGCGGUGGAGCAUGUGGUUUAAUUCGAUGAUACGCGAGGAACCUUACCAAGGCUUAAAUGUAGACUGACCGGUUUGGAAACAGACUUUUCGCAAGACAGUUUACAAGGUGCUGCAUGGUUGUCGU